UACGUAGGGUCCAAGCGUUAAUCGGAAUUACUGGGCGUAAAGCGUGUGUAGGCGGUUUCGCAAGUCCGAUGUGAAAUCCCCGGGCUUAACCUGGGAACUGCGUUGGAAACUACGAAGCUAGAGUGCGGCAGAGGGGGGUGGAAUUCCAGGUGUAGCAGUGAAAUGCGUAGAGAUGUGGAGGAACACCGAUGGCGAAGGCAGCCCCCUGGGUCGACACUGACGCUCAUGCACGAAAGCGUGGGGAGCAAACAGG
RNAcentral lists this ribosomal RNA (253 nucleotides) under uncultured bacterium. RNAcentral's name for it is "partial 16S ribosomal RNA". It matches the Rfam family "Bacterial small subunit ribosomal RNA", at positions 524 to 776 of the family's 1533-position model. The record is from RNAcentral.